UAUAGCAAUAGCUACUUGCAUCAUUGUACGAUGAUGCAAGAUCGACUAUGUCGAAUAAAAUUCUAGGUAGAAUUAUGAUAAUGACAUUGUCUGCCUAUGUGUCUUGACCAAAUUACGUGCCAGCAGUCGCGGUAAUACGUAGAAGACUAGUGUUAUUCAUGUUUAAUCGGUUUAAAGGGUACCUAGACGGUAAAUCAAGCUUUCAAAGAAAUAGAGUUAAAGGACUAAUUUACUAGAGUUACUUAUGAGGGGGUAUUAAAGUACUGCUGGUGUAGAGAUGAAAUUCUGUCAUACCUCUUUUCAAAAGAAAAAUGAUGGCACAGGUAUAGGCGAAGGCAUCCCCUUAUGUGAUAACUGACGUUGAGGGACGAAGGCUUUGUGUAGCGAACAGGAUUAGAUACCCCAGUAGUCGAAGCAGAAAAUGAUGAAUGUCAUAGAUUAGAGGUAAGUUUAUUCUAUAAAUGAAAGUGUAAGCAUUCCACCUCAUGAGUAAUUUGGCAACAUUGGAACUGAAAUCAUUAGACCGUUUCUGAAACCAGUAGUGAAGUAUGUUGUUUAAUUUGAUGAUCCGCAAAAAACCUUACCACAAUUUGAAUAUUUAUAUUUUUUUUAUUGUUUUUUUGUUAAUUUUCUUCUAAGAACAAAGUUAAUAAUGAGGCAAUAAGGUAUAUUUACAAGCGUUGCACGGCUGUCUUCAGUUAAUGUCGCGAGACUUUGGUUAGUUCCAUUAAAUUAACGUAAACCCUUACUUUAUUUUUAUAUAGAGUAGUUCCCCGCUAUAUUGGAUAUGAU
This 792-nucleotide ribosomal RNA is filed under the name Melanohalea aff. multispora SL-2012. Its description in RNAcentral is "SSU rRNA". It matches the Rfam family "Bacterial small subunit ribosomal RNA", at positions 371 to 1146 of the family's 1533-position model. The record is from RNAcentral. Lineage: Eukaryota; Fungi; Ascomycota; Lecanoromycetes; Lecanorales; Parmeliaceae.